This 1322-nucleotide long non-coding RNA is filed under the name Equus asinus (donkey). Its description in RNAcentral is "lncRNA (ENSEASG00005033597.1)". The record is from RNAcentral. Lineage: Eukaryota; Metazoa; Chordata; Mammalia; Perissodactyla; Equidae.
UGAAAUGUCUCUCUCACAAUAGUCACGUGAUUGCCCUGUCAUCACAGCACUUGAUGGACACAGCAGGUGGUGGGUCUGCUAUCUCAGAGGGUGUAGCAGGAGGCAAGUCUAUUGUCUUGAGCUGGGUGGUCACAGGUGUAACUGGUGAUAAAUAUCCAAGUGGACUUGAGAGAACUUGGAAUGCAAUGCCGCCUGCUUCCUGCUCCCGUGGGACCCACGUGACUCUCAUCCCAGAGGAGACACCUGUGCCUCCAACCCGGUGGCUUGCCUCCUCGUCCCUCAGGAUGUAACGACAACGACAAGUUUACUGUGUGAGGUCCCAGGCCGAGCGCCAACGCUGAAUGGUUCAUUCAGACCUCACAUUGUCUGGCACAUUUUCAAGCAUUCUUCCCCGUGUUUUGUAGACAAGAAAACCAAGGCUCCCUGAGGGCCAGGUUAAGUAACUUGUCCAGCUGCUCACCACGGCGCAAAGAUGAAGCUGAGUUUUGAAAUACCACAUCAUGCGGUAUUUAGAGAAGAAGAUUGAAAUGGACUUUUCAGAAGAGGUGGGGAGGGACAAUUUUGACAUUAUCUUUUUUCUCCUGAUCAUAUAAGCAAUGCAUGCUCAUUGUUUGUUUAAUUAAGAAAAAGUCAGAGUUUGAAAAGACAUUAGCAGAGGAGUGGUGGUGAGGUUUCCCCUCGUCUGCCGGUUUCUUUCUAAGAACUAAGGGAAAUGACUGAGCCCUCAGAGGGGAGGGAGGGAGGAGAGAAUGUCCUGGCAUUAAAUCUGAGCGGAGAGCAUCGUAACCCUGCAGGGGAGGUGUUCCAUCCACGUGCCGUGCUUCCAGACAACCUUGCAAAGCAUCGGAACCCGUGUUCAUGAUCGGUGGCAGUGGGUCCGAAACAAGCCUGAUUCUCUGGAUUUCUGCAUUUCGGGUGGCCAGGCUCUCUGCGCAGCUGUGACAGUGACCCUUCCCCUGACUCAGCUCUAGUUGGACUCCUCUAAGCCUCAAGGCCCCACACUCAGGCUCUGUCUUCCCACAUUUAGCCCAGUUUUAGCGGAAAUCCCCCACCCUCGAUAUUGUCACCUCGGCCUCACUUUAGCAAGAAUCCCGUGGAGUUGGUCUAGCAAGAACGCCCCCAGUCUUGUGUUUCCUCCUAGUAACUUCCCAUCCACCACCACCCAAUACACACCCUACUCCUUGGCUCUGAAUCCCCACUUGUCCUUAUUGUGUUCAGAGCUGAGCCUCUCAGUCUCUCCCCGCUACUGCAAAACCCCAGUGCUGUGGCCCCUACGCUUGUCAGGAUGGCCCCUGAAUAAAAUCUGCCUUACGGUUCUUUAA